RNAcentral lists this ribosomal RNA (513 nucleotides) under uncultured bacterium. Its description in RNAcentral is "partial 16S ribosomal RNA". It matches the Rfam family "Bacterial small subunit ribosomal RNA", at positions 28 to 523 of the family's 1533-position model. The record is from RNAcentral.
GAUGAACGCUGGCGGCGUGCCUAAUACAUGCAAGUCGAGCGAACAGACGAGGAGCUUGCUCCUCUGACGUUAGCGGCGGACGGGUGAGUAACACGUGGAUAACCUACCUAUAAGACUGGGAUAACUUCGGGAAACCGGAGCUAAUACCGGAUAAUAUAUUGAACCGCAUGGUUCAAUAGUGAAAGACGGUUUUGCUGUCACUUAUAGAUGGAUCCGCGCCGCAUUAGCUAGCUGGUAAGGUAACGGCUUACCAAGGCAACGAUGCGAAGCCGACCUGAGAGGGUGCUCGGCCACACUGGAACUGAGACACGGUCCAGACUCCUACGGGAGGCAGCAGUAGGGAAUCUUCCGCAAUGGGCGAAAGCCUGACGGAGCAACGCCGCGUGAGUGAUGAAGGUCUUCGGAUCGUAAAACUCUGUUAUUAGGGAAGAACAAAUGUGUAAGUAACUAUGCACGUCUUGACGGUACCUAAUCAGAAAGCCACGGCUAACUACGUGCCAGCAGCCGCCGUAA